AUGAAGAUAUGAGGAGAGAUUUCAUUUUAAUGAAACACCGAAGAAGUAAAUCUUUCAGGUAAAAGGACUCAUAUUGGACG
RNAcentral lists this non-coding RNA (80 nucleotides) under Fusobacterium animalis ATCC 51191. It matches the Rfam family "Glycine riboswitch aptamer". From Rfam's summary of the family: This family represents the bacterial glycine riboswitch. Glycine riboswitches usually consist of two metabolite-binding aptamers domains with similar structures in tandem. RNAcentral also lists the same sequence under 1 other name. The record is from Rfam by way of RNAcentral. Lineage: Bacteria; Fusobacteriati; Fusobacteriota; Fusobacteriia; Fusobacteriales; Fusobacteriaceae.